GGCCUUAUAUUCAAUGAAUGAUUUUAAAUUGCAAAUUUAAAGGUAGGUUACUCUUAAGGCUU
This 62-nucleotide transfer RNA is filed under the name Bostrichoidea sp. 9 KM-2017. RNAcentral describes it as "tRNA-Cys". The record is from RNAcentral. Lineage: Eukaryota; Metazoa; Arthropoda; Insecta; Coleoptera.